Molecule: unclassified non-coding RNA, 210 nt
Filed under: uncultured fungus
Lineage: Eukaryota; Fungi
Description: sequence contains ITS1, 5.8S rRNA gene
Source: RNAcentral
CCGGGAUUGAUUUGGUUUCAAAUCAUCUCUCUGACCCUUUUUUGUUUAUCAAAAAUGUCUUUUCUUCGGCAAGACGUCUUGAUUUCAGAUGAAUUUCGGUUCAACUGAAUGAAAAGCCAUUGACAGUUGUAACAGACUUGUGAAUGAGUUUGCUUGCCGAAGUACCUUACUCUAUAUUAUUGAAGUCUGAGUAAACAAACAAAUAAAUUA